This 500-nucleotide ribosomal RNA is filed under the name uncultured bacterium. Its description in RNAcentral is "partial 16S ribosomal RNA". It matches the Rfam family "Bacterial small subunit ribosomal RNA", at positions 29 to 523 of the family's 1533-position model. The record is from RNAcentral.
AUUGAACGCUGGCGGCGUGCUUAACACAUGCAAGUUGAUCGGUAACGCGGGGGCAACCCUGGCGACGAGAGGCGGACGGGUGAGGAACGCUUGGGAAUCUGCCUAUCAGCGGGGGACAACACGGGGAAACUCGUGCUAAUACCGCAUACGCUCUACGGAGGAAAGCCGGGGACCGCAAGGCCUGGCACUGAUAGAUGAGCCCAAGCCGGAUUAGCUAGUUGGCGGGGUAACGGCCCACCAAGGCGACGAUCCGUAGCUGGUCUGAGAGGACGAUCAGCCGCACUGGGACUGAGACACGGCCCAGACUCCUACAGGAGGCAGCAGUGGGGAAUUUUGGACAAUGGGCGCAAGCCUGAUCCAGCCAUGCCGCGUGAGUGAAGAAGGCCUUCGGGUUGUAAAGCUCUUUCGGCCGGGAAGAAAUCGCAUCAGCUAAUACCUGGUGUGGAUGACGGUACCGGAAUAAGAAGCACCGGCUAACUACGUGCCAGCCGCCGCCGUAA